RNAcentral lists this ribosomal RNA (301 nucleotides) under uncultured bacterium. Its description in RNAcentral is "partial 16S ribosomal RNA". It matches the Rfam family "Bacterial small subunit ribosomal RNA", at positions 509 to 807 of the family's 1533-position model. The record is from RNAcentral.
CAGUCGCCGCGGUAAUACGAAGGGGGCUAGCGUUGCUCGGAAUUACUGGGCGUAAAGGGCGCGUAGGCGGACAGUUAAGUUGGGGGUGAAAGCCCGGGGCUCAACCUCGGAAUUGCCUUCAAUACUGGCUGUCUUGAGUAUGAGAGAGGUGUGUGGAACUCCGAGUGUAGAGGUGAAAUUCGUAGAUAUUCGGAAGAACACCAGUGGCGAAGGCGACACACUGGCUCAUUACUGACGCUGAGGCGCGAAAGCGUGGGGAGCAAACAGGAUUAGAUACCCGUGUAGUCCCUGUCUCUUAUAC